GCUGGGUGUGGUGGUGGGCACCUGUAAUCCCAGCUACUCGGGAGGCUGAGGCAGGAGAAUCACUUGAACCCGGGAGGCGGAGGUUGCAGUGAGCUGAGAUUGUGCCACUGCACUCCAGCCCGGGCGACAGAGUGAGACUCUGCCUCAA
RNAcentral lists this non-coding RNA (148 nucleotides) under Pan troglodytes (chimpanzee). The record is from Rfam by way of RNAcentral. Lineage: Eukaryota; Metazoa; Chordata; Mammalia; Primates; Hominidae.